UACGUAGGGUGCGAGCGUUAAUCGGAAUUACUGGGCGUAAAGUGCGCGCAGGUGGCCUCGCAAGUCGAGUGUGAAAUCCCCGGGCUUAACUUGGGAAUUGCGCUCGAAACUACGGGGCUCGAGUGUGGCAGAGGGAGGUGGAAUUCCACGUGUAGUGGUGAAAUGCGUAGAUAUCGGGAGGAACACCAGUGGCGAAGGCGACUACCUGGCCUGUUUCUUGACGCUGAGGCGCGAAAGCUAGGGGAGCAAACGGG
Molecule: ribosomal RNA, 254 nt
Filed under: uncultured bacterium
Lineage: Bacteria
Description: partial 16S ribosomal RNA
Rfam family: Bacterial small subunit ribosomal RNA
Source: RNAcentral